This 336-nucleotide ribosomal RNA is filed under the name uncultured Pelotomaculum sp. RNAcentral describes it as "bacterial SSU rRNA". It matches the Rfam family "Bacterial small subunit ribosomal RNA", at positions 1047 to 1382 of the family's 1533-position model. Lineage: Bacteria; Bacillati; Bacillota; Clostridia; Eubacteriales; Desulfotomaculaceae. The record is from RNAcentral.
GGUUGUCGUCAGCUCGUGUCGUGAGAUGUUGGGUUAAGUCCCGCAACGAGCGCAACCCCUACGUUUAGUUGCUAACGCGUGAAGGCGAGCACUCUAGACGAACUGCCGUUGACAAAACGGAGGAAGGUGGGAUGACGUCAAAUCAUCAUGCCCCUUAUGUUCUGGGCUACGCACGUGCUACAAUGGCCGGUACAGACGGACGCAAAGCCGCGAGGUGGAGCAAAUCCUAAAAAGCCGGUCUCAGUUCGGAUUGCAGGCUGCAAUUCGCCUGCAUGAAGUCGGAAUCGCUAGUAAUCGCAGGUCAGCAUACUGCGGUCGAAUACGUUCCCGGGCCUU